Astatotilapia calliptera (eastern happy) is the source of this 1646-nucleotide long non-coding RNA. Lineage: Eukaryota; Metazoa; Chordata; Actinopteri; Cichliformes; Cichlidae. The record is from Ensembl.
UGCACAGUACUAAUACUUCUAAAAUGGACUAUUGGCUUAGUAGACAUCUCUUCAUUGGAAUGAGAGAUCCAUUUCAGUAAAGCUAGUGCUAAGUUAAAGUAUCUAAAUGGAUUUUACCUCUGUCAAAUUAGGAAUGUUGUCUCAUUCAGACAAAUAGCGAACUACCCGCGUAAACAUAAACACACUUGGUGAUUUCACACAUGGACCAGAUGUUUCAGUCCACAGAAGUAAAUGAAUCUUAAUUUGGAUGUCUUUCAGUGAGUUUUAAUAAUGAGAGUGUAAAACAUCACCAAGGUUCAUUUAACUGUAAUGUCUUUAACUGGAUACAUUAUAGCCUGUAUGAGCAAUACUGUGAAAUCAUGUUCAGUGUCAUUCAAGCCUGUUCUGUUUUCAGUUUGGUGUUUCCUGAACAGCAAAAGAAAAAAAAAGAGAACAACCUGCAUUUUAUUUUUUUGACUGAAGUGCUACAUCACACCCUUUGGUCUUGUCUGGUAUUUGCUGAGUGGCAUUAGACAUGUUUGGAAGCAGUUUAAACUUCAGAAAAGCUUCACAUUACAGGGGCUGAAAGAAUCAGUGGGUGUUCUUCGUGGGAGGAUUUAGGUGUGACUCUUGCUUUUUAAGAAAUGUUUUUUUUUUCUUCUCUAUGCAGUCUGCACGAGUGUGGAAAUGUGUUUUCUGACCUGAUUGACCUGAUAACAUGUUUUGUUUGAAGACACACACACACACACACACACACACACACACACACACACACACACACACACAAAAUAAAAGAAAGUAAAAAGGUUGACCCAGCACUGACUGCACACACACAAACACAGUAUUUAUAUAUAAAUAUGUUUAUGAUUCAUGCUAGCUUUGAGAAUAGUUCCUAUUUUCAUUACUAUACAAAUUGACCACUUGUUACAAAUUUUGCAUUACUUUUUAAUAUAUUGUAAAUAAAUGAUGGGGAUUGUUUGGAAUGGCUUCUAGAAUGGUUGACUUGAAGUGUUUUGCUGCUGUGGGAGUGUCUGAUGCACCUACUUUUGUAUCUUCGUGUGUUGUGAGAUAGCAGUAUGGAUGCUAUGGGUGGCUGCUUUUAAUAUUUAUUUCACUGUGUGUAAUUUAAGGGAACAUCAGCCCGUUUCUUCUGCUGCUUCUUUUGGCUACUCCCUUUAGGGUUCGCCACAGUGGAGCAUCUGCUACCAUCUAACUGUAUCCCUAGCAUCCUUCUGGCCAGUCCCAAUGAAAAUCUUAACAUCUCAACUUCUAGUUUGACCUGUAUUUUGGUAGUUCCACUGUCUCCAUAUGUCUAUACAUCAUAGCAAGUCUCACUACCAUCAUGUAAACCUUCCUUGUCACUCUCACUGCUAUCCUUCUGUCACAAAUCAACACAGAAACUCGUCGCACUCACUUCACCGUGCCUGCACUCUCUUCUUGACCUCUCUUGUGCACUCUGUUGCUUUGGAUGAUUGACCCCAGAAAUUCAAGAUUCAAGGAAUAUUGCAGUAUGUCCAAAAUGGGAAUACUUGGAUAUCUAAAAUAUGUUCUUGUUACCCACUGUUCCUUAAACAAAUGUAUUUUGCACUGCAGUCAGCAGAUUUUAUAUAAAUAACUCUCUCACUGAGCUAACACAGCCAAUCCCUCAGCAUGUUUGUACUCUCUGC